ACCCUUUAACGUUUGAUGUUCUAACCCGGGUCCGUAAUCCGGAUCGGGGACCGUGUCUGGUGGGUAGUUUGACUGGGGCGGUCUCCUCCCAAAGAGUAACGGAGGAGCACGAAGGUUGGCUAAGCAUGGUCGGACAUCAUGCGGUUAGUGCAAAGGCAUAAGCCAGCUUGACUGCGAGAGUGACGGCUCGAGCAGGUACGAAAGUAGGUCUUAGUGAUCCGGUGGUUCUGAAUGGAAGGGCCAUCGCUCAACGGAUAAAAGGUACUCCGGGGAUAACAGGCUGAUACCGCCCAAGAGUUCAUAUCGACGGCGGUGUUUGGCACCUCGAUGUCGGCUCAUCACAUCCUGGGGCUGAAGUAGGUCCCAAGGGUAUGGCUGUUCGCCAUUUAAAGUGGUACGCGAGCUGGGUUUAGAACGUCGUGAGACAGUUCGGUCCCUAUCUGCCGUGGGCGCUGGAAGAUUGAGAGGGGUUGCUCCUAGUACGAGAGGACCGGAGUGAACGCACCACUGGUGUACGGGUUGUGAUGCCAAUUGCAUUGCCCGGUAGCUAAGUGCGGAAGAGAUAACCGCUGAAAGCAUCUAAGCGGGAAACUUGCCUCGAGAUGAGUCUUCCCUGAUUCCCAGAGAAUCCUGAAGGAACGUUUGAGACUAAGACGUUGAUAGGCUGGGUGUGUAAGCGCAGCGAUGCGUUGAGCUGACCAGUACUAAUGAACCGAGAGGCUUAACCUGACAACACCGAAGG
This 742-nucleotide ribosomal RNA is filed under the name Morganella morganii. RNAcentral describes it as "partial 23S ribosomal RNA". It matches the Rfam family "Bacterial large subunit ribosomal RNA", at positions 2202 to 2925 of the family's 2925-position model. The record is from RNAcentral. Lineage: Bacteria; Pseudomonadati; Pseudomonadota; Gammaproteobacteria; Enterobacterales; Morganellaceae.